GUAGGUGGCAAGCGUUGUCCGGAAUUAUUGGGCGUAAAGCGCGCGCAGGCGGUUCUUUAAGUCUGAUGUGAAAGCCCACGGCUCAACCGUGGAGGGUCAUUGGAAACUGGAGAACUUGAGUACAGAAGAGGAAAGCGGAAUUCCACGUGUAGCGGUGAAAUGCGUAGAGAUGUGGAGGAACACCAGUGGCGAAGGCGGCUUUCUGGUCUGUAACUGACGUUGAGGCGCGAAAGCGUGGGGAGCAAACAGGGAUUAGAUACCCUGGUAGUCCACGCCGUAAACGAUGAGUGCUAAGUGUUAGGGGGUUCCCGCCCCUUAGUGCUGCAGCUAACGCAUUAAGCACUCCGCCUGGGGAGUACGGCCGCAAGGCUG
RNAcentral lists this ribosomal RNA (372 nucleotides) under uncultured organism. RNAcentral describes it as "partial 16S ribosomal RNA". It matches the Rfam family "Bacterial small subunit ribosomal RNA", at positions 527 to 896 of the family's 1533-position model. The record is from RNAcentral.